UACGGAGGGGGCGAGCGUUGUUCGGAUUUACUGGGCGUAAAGGGCGCGUAGGCGGUUAUACAGGUCCGCUGUGAAAACUGGAGGCUUAACCUCCAGACGUCGGUGGAAACCGUAUGACUAGAGUCCGGAAGAGGAGAGUGGAAUUCCUGGUGUAGCGGUGAAAUGCGCAGAUAUCAGGAAGAACACCAAUGGCGAAGGCAGCUCUCUGGGACGGUACUGACGCUGAGACGCGAAAGCCAGGGGAGCGAACGGG
RNAcentral lists this ribosomal RNA (253 nucleotides) under uncultured bacterium. Its description in RNAcentral is "partial 16S ribosomal RNA". It matches the Rfam family "Bacterial small subunit ribosomal RNA", at positions 524 to 776 of the family's 1533-position model. The record is from RNAcentral.